AGAGCAAAGUGAGGACUUAGCUCAUUUUCUUGCCUGACUUCAAGACCAACCGAGAAAGUGAGAGAGAGAGAUUUCUGGUUCCAUUCUUUCCUUUCCAGCCACAACUGAGUGAAUAAGAGGGCAAGGUAGAAAAAAGAGGGAAGCUUGGGAGCAUUUCACCAUAAGGAAUCGAAGGAGGAGAAGGAGGAAGGGGACUGCUUGCUUUUUUCUUCUUUUCCAGCUUUGAUUGUGAGGAAAAAGGGAGGAAGUAGCCGUGAACCAGGAAACCAACUCGAGACUCAAGAAUAGUCAUUUGAACCUUUGGAGUUGGAGAUUGAAAAGUGAUUGGAUGAAAUUGAAAAGUUGUUUUGGAAAAAUCCAUCACUAUGUGUAUAUAUUGGAGUCACGUUUUCUUUUGUAUUUUAAGAUGGUUGAAUUUUCUGUUUUGAGUUGAUGUAAUAUUAAGAAUAGAUGUUUAGAACGUGUAUUUUGUUUCUUUUAGUGGACAAAUCUAUGUUUCAAGCUGAUUAGAGUGGUACUUAAGAGUGAAUGUUCAGUUGUUCAAUAAUAAUGUUAUAUCUGAAGUUAAUAUAAGUGAGCGAGUCCUGACGAGAGACAGGCAGGCGAUCCGCUAACUUCUAGGGUAGGCCCUAGGAGAAGAUGGAGUCGUCACAACUUUCCUAUGAUAUUUUUGUACUCUGUUAUUCAUAGUAA
This is a long non-coding RNA of Coffea arabica (coffee), 693 nucleotides long. RefSeq lists it as uncharacterized. The record is from RefSeq and is a predicted model, not a curated record. Lineage: Eukaryota; Viridiplantae; Streptophyta; Magnoliopsida; Gentianales; Rubiaceae.